This 250-nucleotide ribosomal RNA is filed under the name uncultured prokaryote. Its description in RNAcentral is "partial 16S ribosomal RNA". It matches the Rfam family "Bacterial small subunit ribosomal RNA", at positions 524 to 773 of the family's 1533-position model. The record is from RNAcentral.
UACGGAAGGUCCGGGCGUUAUCCGGAUUUAUUGGGUUUAAAGGGAGCGCAGGCGGGAUUUUAAGCGUGUUGUGAAAUGUAACGGCUCAACCGUUGAAUUGCAGCGCGAACUGGAGUCCUUGAGUGAGUACGACGUCAGCGGAAUUCGUGGUGUAGCGGUGAAAUGCUUAGAUAUCACGAAGAACUCCGAUUGCGAAGGCAGCUGACGAGUCCUUAACUGACGCUAAAGCUCGAAAGUGCGGGUAUCGAAC